This 706-nucleotide long non-coding RNA is filed under the name Olea europaea (common olive). RNAcentral's name for it is "long non-coding RNA (OEUR_LNC010594)". Lineage: Eukaryota; Viridiplantae; Streptophyta; Magnoliopsida; Lamiales; Oleaceae. The record is from RNAcentral.
AAUUAAGAAGAAAUCAUAAUUUUAGUAUUAUCUUUAACAAAGGGGAUAAACGGCUUAGGGUUUUUAGACUUGUGUUGGGGUGAUUCUACUCCAACUUGUUCAUCACCAAUGUACUAUCAGACUAUUUGUAUAAAAAUGGGCUUUAUAUUUGAUUUCAACACAAUUGUCCAACCAUUUCGUACAUAGUUGAUUUUGGGAUUGGUAAACCAAUUGAUGAUUGAGGUGUUGCUCAUAGGAGGAAUGGGUGGCAGUAAUGGAGGUGAGUGGCGAUGAUGAGUCAAAGAAAUUGGUAGAGGAAGCAUGGGAGUUGGUAUUGGCAGUAGAAUUGGAGCAAGCAUUGGUGGUGGGGAAGGUGGCGGUGGAGUGUUGGGAAUGGGGGUGGGUGGGUUGGAAUUGGGGAGUUUUAGGGGAUGAAGAAAACAGAGCUAAACUGGAGAAAUAUUCAAAUCAAAAAGCAAUCAGGUGGCUCUUUUGGUAGCUAGAUGUAUGAUUAUUCAAAUAAUUUAUUUGGCACUAUUGCUUUCUUAAAUUUCAAUCUAUUUUAUAUAGAAAUUUAUGUAUACACAUCGACAAUCAAUUGGUUUUAGAUUGAACUAUAUUACCUUAAGCGCAUGAUGCUCUUCUUAUUGUUCGCCUCCAAUUUCACUGUAGGUUACUGUAGUGCUACUUAUUAUGAGAUUUCGUCUCCAAAUAUGAUGUAUCAUAC